GUCCAUGCUGUAAACGAUGAGAACUGGGUGUUGCGGGUAUUGACCCCUGCGGUGCCGAAGCCAACGCGUUAAGUUCUCCGCCUGGGAAGUACGGCCGCAAGGCUAAAACUCAAAGGAAUUGACGGGGCCCGCACAAGCGGUGGAGCAUGUGGUUUAAUUCGACGCAACGCGAAGAACCUUACCCGGGCUCGAAAGUGCUGGAACCUGGCUGAAAAGCCGGGGUGCUCGCAAGAGAGCCAGUGUCCAGGUGCUGCAUGGCUGUCGU
This 265-nucleotide ribosomal RNA is filed under the name uncultured bacterium. RNAcentral describes it as "partial 16S ribosomal RNA". It matches the Rfam family "Bacterial small subunit ribosomal RNA", at positions 793 to 1055 of the family's 1533-position model. The record is from RNAcentral.